Molecule: ribosomal RNA, 453 nt
Filed under: uncultured bacterium
Lineage: Bacteria
Description: bacterial SSU rRNA
Rfam family: Bacterial small subunit ribosomal RNA
Source: RNAcentral
AGCGAACGCUGGCGGCAGGCUUAACACAUGCAAGUCGAACGGGCGUAGCAAUACGUCAGUGGCAGACGGGUGAGUAACACGUGGGAACGUACCUUUUGGUUCGGAACAACUGAGGGAAACUUCAGCUAAUACCGGAUAAGCCCUUACGGGGAAAGAUUUAUCGCCGAAAGAUCGGCCCGCGUCUGAUUAGCUAAGUUGGUGGGGUAAGAGCCCACCAAGGCGACGAUCAGUAGCUGGUCUGAGAGGAUGAUCAGCCACAUUGGGACUGAGACACGGCCCAAACUCCUACGGGAGGCAGCAGUGGGGAAUAUUGGACAAUGGGCGAAAGCCUGAUCCAGCCAUGCCGCGUGAGUGAUGAAGGCCCUAGGGUUGUAAAGCUCUUUUAACGGGGAAGAUAAUGACGGUACCCGUAGAAUAAGCCCCGGCUAACUUCGUGCCAGCAGCCGCGGUAAU